GGGGAAUUAGCUCAGUAGGCUAGAGCGCUUGCUUUGCACGCAGGAGGUCAUCGGUUCGAUUCCGAUAUUCUCCA
RNAcentral lists this transfer RNA (74 nucleotides) under Blattabacterium sp. (Blaberus giganteus). RNAcentral describes it as "tRNA-Ala (TGC) (tRNA-Ala-TGC-1-1)". It matches the Rfam family "tRNA". Rfam says of the family: Transfer RNA (tRNA) molecules are approximately 80 nucleotides in length. Their secondary structure includes four short double-helical elements and three loops (D, anti-codon, and T loops). Further hydrogen bonds mediate the characteristic L-shaped molecular structure. tRNAs have two regions of fundamental functional importance: the anti-codon, which is responsible for specific mRNA codon recognition, and the 3' end, to which the tRNAs corresponding amino acid is attached (by aminoacyl-tRNA synthetases). tRNAs cope with the degeneracy of the genetic code in two manners: having more than one tRNA (with a specific anti-codon) for a particular amino acid; and 'wobble' base-pairing, i.e. permitting non-standard base-pairing at the 3rd anti-codon position. The record is from RNAcentral. Lineage: Bacteria; Pseudomonadati; Bacteroidota; Flavobacteriia; Flavobacteriales; Blattabacteriaceae.